CGUCGCAAGAUUAAAACUCAAAGGAAUAGACGGGGACCCGCACAAGCGUGGAGCAUGUGUUUAAUUCGACGAUACGCGAAGAACCUUACCUGGCCUUGACAUAGAAAGAAUUUAGCAGAGAUGUAAAAGUGCUAGUUUACUAGAGCUUUCAUACAGGUGCUGCACGGCUGUCGUCAGCUCGUGUCGUGAGAUGUUAGGUUAAGUCCUGCAACGAGCGCAACCCUCCUGUUUAGUUACUAACAGAUUAUGCUGAGGACUCUAGACAUACUGCCUGGGCAACCAGGAGGAAGGUGAGGACGACGUCAAGUCAUCAUGGCCCUUACGGCCAGGGCUACACACGUGCUACAAUGGGGUAUACAAAGAGCAGCGAUACCGCGAGGUGGAGCAAAUCUCAUAAAAUAUCUCCCAGUUCGGAUUACACUCUGCAACUCGAGUGUAUGAAGUUGGAAUCGCUAGUAAUCGUAGAUCAACAAUGCUACGGUGAAUACGUUCCCGGGUCUUGUACUCACCGCCC
RNAcentral lists this ribosomal RNA (514 nucleotides) under uncultured Campylobacterota bacterium. Its description in RNAcentral is "bacterial SSU rRNA". It matches the Rfam family "Bacterial small subunit ribosomal RNA", at positions 884 to 1395 of the family's 1533-position model. The record is from RNAcentral. Lineage: Bacteria; Pseudomonadati; Campylobacterota.